AAACAGAACUUAUCUUCUGUUAGAGGCCACACUACAUGUGUACUCAUAAGCUUCGGAUAUAACCAAAAAAAUCUGUCGCGCAAAUUUCCAUUCAGCUCCACAAUGAACUUUUGAAAACUGAAGUGCUCUGGUAAAUUCUACUCUCUACACUCGUCUUCUAUAAAUAACUAUCGUUCUCCAUAUUCCACAAGCAAUCAUCUAAAAU
RNAcentral lists this long non-coding RNA (205 nucleotides) under Nicotiana benthamiana. RNAcentral describes it as "long non-coding RNA (NBEN_LNC040412)". Lineage: Eukaryota; Viridiplantae; Streptophyta; Magnoliopsida; Solanales; Solanaceae. The record is from RNAcentral.